Molecule: non-coding RNA, 703 nt
Organism: Procambarus clarkii (red swamp crayfish)
Lineage: Eukaryota; Metazoa; Arthropoda; Malacostraca; Decapoda; Cambaridae
Source: RefSeq, a predicted model, not a curated record
UCACCUCCAGCCACGCCUCUGUCAGGUCCCGUCCAUCACUGCACACGGCGUCACUGGCGUUGAACCCGAGAGACAGUGUGAGGUUGAGAGGCGUGUCCUCCGGGACCUUCCAUACGCCGCUAUGGAAGGUUUCCAGGUAAACAUCGCUCUGGAAGGACUCCAGGUAAACAUUACUUCGGAAGGUAUCUAGGUAGACGUCACUGGAGCUCACGGCGCCUGUGGUGAAGCCUAGACAGCCCAACACAAUCAGCAUCACUGGUGGCAUCUUCAUUCAUAUAACAAUUCCAACGAUCGAUAAGAUUGCUAAUGUUUUGUUUGCUAAAGUAAAAUCUGAGUAAUUGUUUCUUUGCGAGCUACAUAAGCCUUCUCUUUACUGAUGUAUUUGUAACACUCACUGAAUAGAAAUCCUGGUAGACCUUUGAGAAUUGAUGAUCUGAUCAACACAUUGAGUUUAUUAGAUUUUGUCACCGCUUAAACGUCGUGUCCUGUUUAAACUAGCGUUUAGUCUGAGAUUUUUCUCUGCACAACAUCCAACAUUCGUUCGCUUGAUGGUUCGUUCACUUGACAGUUGUUGACGGCAGGCUGACCAGGAUGGUGGAGGCUGGUGGCACAGGCUGCCCGUACUUGCCCCGGCGCCCUCACUCACCCGAACAACAUAGACCCCCAAAGUCAACGGCUGUAAUCGCAACACAAGUGGAUCAAG